GAUGAACGCUGGCGGUAUGCUUAACACAUGCAAGUCGAACGGACUCUUCGGAGUUAGUGGCGGACGGGUGAGUAACGCGUGAGAAUCUGGCUUUGGGUUCGGGACAACCACUGGAAACGGUGGCUAAUACCGGAUGUGCCGAGAGGUAAAAGAGAAAUUGCCUGAAGAUGAGCUCGCGUCUGAUUAGCUAGUUGGUGAGGUAAAGGCUCACCAAGGCAGCGAUCAGUAGCUGGUCUGAGAGGAUGACCAGCCACACUGGGACUGAGACACGGCCCAGACUCCUACGGGAGGCAGGAGUGGGGAAUUUUCCGCAAUGGGCGAAAGCCUGACGGAGCAAUACCGCGUGAGGGAAGAAGGCUCUUGGGUUGUAAACCUCUUUUCUUAGGGAAGAACAAAAUGACGGUACCUAAGGAAUCAGCAUCGGCUAACUCCGUG
RNAcentral lists this ribosomal RNA (435 nucleotides) under uncultured bacterium. RNAcentral's name for it is "partial 16S ribosomal RNA". It matches the Rfam family "Bacterial small subunit ribosomal RNA", at positions 28 to 507 of the family's 1533-position model. The record is from RNAcentral.